GACGUAGGAUGCGAGCGUUGUUCGGAUUUAUUGGGCGUAAAGCGUACGUAGGCGGCUGCCUAAGUCUGGUGUUAAAGCUAGAGGCUCAACCUCUGUGAUGCACUGGAAACUGGGCGGCUUGAGAGCGGUAGGGGAAGGUGGAAUUCCGAGUGUAGCGGUGAAAUGCGUAGAUAUUCGGAAGAACACCGGUGGCGAAGGCGACCUUCUGGGCCGUUUCUGACGCUGAGGUACGAAAGCGUGGGGAGCAAACAGGAUUAGAUACCCUGGUAGUCCACGCUGUAAACGAUGGUCACUAGGUGUCGGGGGUAUCAACCCCCUCGGUGCCGUAGCUAACGCGUUAAGUGACCCGCCUGGGGAGUACGCACGCAAGUGUGAA
RNAcentral lists this ribosomal RNA (376 nucleotides) under uncultured bacterium. RNAcentral describes it as "bacterial SSU rRNA". It matches the Rfam family "Bacterial small subunit ribosomal RNA", at positions 524 to 898 of the family's 1533-position model. The record is from RNAcentral.